GUAUUGCUGAAGCCUGGCUUGGAGAAUUUUGAGCAUUACUUUACUAGCAUGUGAGAUGAGUGCAAUUGUGUGGUAGUUUAAGCAUUCUUUGGCAUUGCCUUUCUUUGGGAUUGGAAUGAAAACUGACCUUUUCCAGUCCUAUGGCCACUGCUGAGUUUUCGAAAUUUGCUGGCAUAUUGAGUGCAGCACUUUCACAGCAUCAUCUUUCAGGAUUUGAAAUAGCUCAACUGGAAUUCCAUCACCUCCACUAGCUUUGUUUGUAGUGAUGCUUUCUAAGGCCCACUUGACUUCACAUUACAGGAUGUCUGUCUCUAGGUGAGUGAUUACACCAUUGUGAUUAUCUUGAUCAUGAAGAUCUUUUUGUACAGUUCUUCUGUGUAUUCUUUCCACCUCUUUUUAAUAUCUUCUGCUCCUGUUAGGUCCAUACCAUUUCUGUCCUUUAUCGAGCCCAUCUUUGCAUGUAGUGUUCCCUUGGUAUCUCUAAUUUUCUUGAAGAGAUCUCUAGUCUUUCCCAUUCUGUUGUUUUCCUGUAUUUCUUUGCAUUGAUCUCUGAGGAAGGCUUUCUUAUCUCUUCUUGCUAUUCUUUGGAACUGUGCAUUCAGAUGCUUAUAUCUUUCCUUUUCUCCUUUGCUUUUCGCUUCUCUUCUUUUCACAGCUAUUUGUAAGGCCUCUCCAGACAGCCAUUUGGUUUUUUGCAUUUAUUUUCCAUGGGGAUGGUCUUGAAUGUCCUUCUUUUGAAAUGAUGGAAAGUCAAGAGAACAAAAAGCAACAUGCCAGCUUGCACCAAGGACCAUUCUUUGCUAGGAAAACCAGCUCUGUUUGGAUCCCCAGCAAAACUAUUGCCCUGAGAAGCUACCCAGGCCUAAAGUUUCCUAAUGUCCCUGCUGCUGCUGCUACUAAAUCACUUCAGUCGUGUCCGACUCUGCAACCCCAUAGACGACAGCCCACCAGGCUCCACCGUCCCUGGGAUUCUCCAGGGAAGAACACUGGAGUGGGUUGCCAUUUCCUUCUCCAAUGCAUGAAAGUGAAAAGUGAAAGUGAAGUCACUCAGUUGUGUCUGACUCUUCCGGCAGCCUACCAGGCUCCUCCAUCAUGGAAUUUUCCAGGCAAGAGUCCUGGAGUGGGGUGCCAUUGCCUUCUCCACCUUCUCCUCCUAAUGCCCCUAAAUUUCCCUAUAAGUGUGUUUAAGGAAGGCCACUCUUUCCAGGUGGCACAGUGGUAA
This 1222-nucleotide long non-coding RNA is filed under the name Ovis aries (sheep). RNAcentral's name for it is "lncRNA (ENSOARG00000026454.1)". Lineage: Eukaryota; Metazoa; Chordata; Mammalia; Artiodactyla; Bovidae. The record is from RNAcentral.